Long non-coding RNA from Mizuhopecten yessoensis (Yesso scallop), 1371 nucleotides. RefSeq lists it as uncharacterized. The transcript is spliced from 4 exons. The record is from RefSeq and is a predicted model, not a curated record. NCBI's taxonomy places the organism in Eukaryota, Metazoa, Mollusca, Bivalvia, Pectinida, Pectinidae.
CAAAGUAUUUCCUCGUCAUAUUGUGUAUAAAAUUGUUCAUACUUUGUUCUCCAGCACAACCUGCCCUGACACAGACUGAACCAGUGUGAACGAAAGCGUUGGCUCAGAAUCAAUCAACUGAAGAUGUUGAAGCUUAUCGUACUGUCCUGUCUAGUGGCCUGUGUCUUAUGUCAAACCUACGGAAGAAGGCGAUUUUCCUUGUAUGAAAAUAGAAGAGGAAAUAGCUGGGACUUGGAAAACGAUCGUUGGAACAGGGAUAGCUUUGGAAGAGAUUGGAACCGACGUAGAAGCGACAGGUUGGGAGACUUGAGGGGAGACAUGUUGGGAGACAGGUGGGGAGACAGGUGGGGAGACAGGAGGAGAGACAUGUUGGGAGGCAGAAGGUCUCGUGUUAGAAUAGCACACAGACGGAGACAGAUCAGGGAAUACUGAUGUAGAGACAAGCAAUUAUGGCAAAAAGAUACCUGUGGCCGAAAAUAAGAAAAUCCAUGUCAACGACUUCAUGCAUAUAUUCAUUUAUAAAUUCAUAUUCCUCAUAACGUUUAUCUAAUAAAACUCUUAUCGUAUAUAUACAUAUGAUAUUUCCAUUCUGUUCUUUGUUCUGCGCUUAUAAAAUAGGUUGUCAUAAUAUUGUUUCUUAUUCAAUGCAAACUUAAAAUGUAUAUAUUUGUCAUGUUAUAAUCGUUUUUAAAAAGAAUGUACAAAAUUUAUAUAAUAAAAAUUAACAGAAAAGGAUAGCUGGAAGUGAAAUAGAAGAUCAGGUUUUAUCCUUUAAUACACAUCUCACAGCCGAUGGAAGAAAGUGAUAACGAACUUUGGAGAUGUCAAUAGAAAUGAAAAGUAUAAAGAUACCUAAUGUAAUUUCAUGAUAGCGACUGUACAUUUGCUGUUAGGAACUUUGUGUUAAUUGUACAAUAUGUAUACAGUUUUAUCUUGCGUCGCAACAAGAAAACCUAAGAUAGAGUUAUCUUAACUAGAAUAUUAGAGGGGACAUACAGUACGCCGUAAAUGUUGGAGUUUUAUUGGAUACAUAGGCAAAACCACACAUAUGUGUUGAUCUGAGUAUUCGAAUCGCAUGAGUUUGUGGUGGCGGAGGAAUAUAUCACGAGUGCGCUUCGCACGAGUGAUAUAUUCCCUCCGCGCCACAAACGAGUGCGAUCCGAAUACUCAGAUCAACACAUAUGUGUGGUUUUUCUUUUAUCACAUGACUUAACCCUAUUGUAGCCUUGGUAAUUAGGAAUUUUAUCUGAUAUGACUAAAUGCACAUUUUAUGUUUUUCCUCUUUUUGUCGUUUUCCAUCGGCACACAGGUCGACGCAAUGCCAGGAUUUUUUUAUAAGAAACUUGUGUUUUAUUAAAAAAAUAAAUGGCA